Molecule: ribosomal RNA, 417 nt
Filed under: uncultured Glomeromycotina
Lineage: Eukaryota; Fungi; Glomeromycota
Description: SSU rRNA
Rfam family: Eukaryotic small subunit ribosomal RNA
Source: RNAcentral
GCACUGGCUUUACUGAUUCCUCCUUCUUGACGAACCGUGAUGUCAUUAAUUUGGUGUUGCGGGAAAUCAGGACUGUUACUUUGAAAAAAUUAGAGUCGUUUAAAGCAGGCUAGCGCUUGAAUACAUUAGCAUGGAAUAAUGAAAUAGGACGUUAAUCCUAUUUUGUUGGUUUCUAGGAUCGACGUAAUGAUUAAUAGGGAUAGUUGGGGGCAUUAGUAUUCAAUUGUCAGAGGUGAAAUUCUUGGAUUUAUUGAAGACUAACUACUGCGAAAGCAUUUGCCAAGGAUGUUUUCAUUAAUCAAGAACGAAAGUUAGGGGAUCGAAGACGAUCAGAUACCGUCGUAGUCUUAACCAUAAACUAUGCCGACUAGGGAUCGGAUGAUGUUAAUUCUUUAAUGACUCAUUCGGCGCCUUACG